This is a long non-coding RNA of Xenia sp. Carnegie-2017, 1193 nucleotides long. RefSeq lists it as uncharacterized. The record is from RefSeq and is a predicted model, not a curated record. The transcript has 3 exons. NCBI's taxonomy places the organism in Eukaryota, Metazoa, Cnidaria, Anthozoa, Malacalcyonacea, Xeniidae.
GACCUUAAGAUUUAACGACGCGCUCAUCUACAACGCGAGCGGAAAUGAAUUUUAAACCAAUGCGCAUGUGCGUGCGUCGUUGAGUUUUGUCUUGCUUCUACAACGCGGCGUCUUUGCUUAAUCCCACGUCGUCCUACAUCGAGGGUGGAAUUUUUCACAAAAAAAGUUUUAAACAAGGCAAGAAAAUGGCAGAACAGUUUUCAUCGUGAUUUAAAUUAAUUGCUUAGCUAAAUUAACAUCCAGUGGCUUUGAAAUUUGUCUUACUUUGUAAUAACGGGUAUGUCGCCGGUUUUUUGCUAAUUGUGAAUACGUACAGAAAGCACACAAACAAGGACAUCGUUCUAGAAUUAUGAAUACAUUCAAGAUACGUUUGCAAUAAGUUUGUUCAAGCGAAAACAGCAUCAGGAUAAAUAUUGUGACAGAGAUAACUCACGCUGGUCUUUUACAACAUAUUUUCUUCGGCCUUGCUCAUACCAUAAUGAAUGUUCAAAAAUUUUGUUACCUACCCUUAAUUUGAUACUUUACUUCGAUUUCGUGCACGUCUGCUCUCGCCCAUUUGAGUGUCAAAGUGUUUGUGUCGCAUCGAACACACGCAUCGAAGACUUAAGUGGACUUCUUUGUUUGCCAUUGGUCAUUGUCGCCGAAGAGAACCACGUGAUCGAAUUAGAACGCAGCAUUAACAACUAAAUAAUCUACGAGUCAGCUGAAAGUUGUGGAAGCCAGAAAUUAAUAAGACUAAAAUUCUAUUGGUGUUCAGUGGAUCAUUAAAUGUGAAUGCUUGUUUUUAAUACGUGCCUGACAGAGUGUAUGGAUACUGAUGUGUUGAACUGGUCUUUUUAAAAUGAAACUAUUCAUCACGUGUCAAUAAUAUCAAUUCGAUCUUGAUUCCAAUUUCCAUCGAAAUUGAACUAUGUGGGUUUGUAUGUAUUUUGCAAAUUCGUCACAAUGGUCAGUUAAUUGUACUACUUGCUACGUUAAGUACAGUUAUACAUAAAUGUAAACCAUGUCACACAAAACUUCAAUCUAAACACAUAUUUUAUAAGGCUACCAUCAAAAGAGGGUCCUUAUUUUAUAAUCGCAAAUAAAAAUUUCUAAAUAUGUGUAGAUAUAUAUUUUUCUCAUGAAUAUGAAUAAUUGUUUUCAAGCUAGAUAGACUAGUACUUAAUAAUAUACAUCGAGAUUUGUAUGAUAAA